Molecule: long non-coding RNA, 302 nt
Filed under: Androctonus crassicauda
Lineage: Eukaryota; Metazoa; Arthropoda; Arachnida; Scorpiones; Buthidae
Source: RNAcentral
CGUGAACACCAUCUGGCUUUUACCCUCUUUGUCUAUUGUUUGUCUCUGGUGCACCAGGAUGUCCCCAUGUCUGUCAGUGUAUGUCUGUGGUUUUUGUUUCUCGUUGUCUAAAAGUUUUAUGUUUCAUGUUCAAAAGAAAAAAUGGUAAAAACUUUAUCUGCCGGUCGUGCGCACCUUGACUUGGUUUUAACUCGUUUCAAGAAGAGAACAAUGAAUAAAAAACAGUUUCAAUUGGCUUUUGGAGCCUACAUCUGUAGCUAGAAGCCUAAGUCUGCUGGACAAGCUCCCCAGGGGCUGGCUAA